Molecule: ribosomal RNA, 492 nt
Filed under: uncultured bacterium
Lineage: Bacteria
Description: partial 16S ribosomal RNA
Rfam family: Bacterial small subunit ribosomal RNA
Source: RNAcentral
AGUGAACGCUGGCGGUAGGCCUAACACAUGCAAGUCGAACGGCAGCACAGUAAGAGCUUGCUCUUACGGGUGUCGAGUGGCGGACGGGUGAGGUAUACAUCGGAAUCUACUUUUUCGUGGGGGAUAACGUAGGGAAACUUACGCUAAUACCGCAUACGACCUACGGGUGAAAGCAGGGGAUCUUCGGACCUUGCGCGAUUGAAUGAGCCGAUGUCGGAUUAGCUAGUUGGCGGGGUAAAGGCCCACCAAGGCGACGAUCCGUAGCUGGUCUGAGAGGAUGAAGAGACACACUGGAACUGAGACACGGUCCAGACUCCUACGGGAGGAAGCAGUGGGGAAUAUUAGACAAUGGGCGCGAGCCUGAUCCAGCCAUACCGCGUGGGUGAAGAAGGACUUAGGGUUGUAAAGCCCUUUUGUUGGGAAAGAAAAGCAGCAGGUUAAUACCCCGAUGUUCUGACGGUACCAAAAGAAUAAGCACCGGCUAACUUCGUG